Molecule: ribosomal RNA, 492 nt
Filed under: uncultured bacterium
Lineage: Bacteria
Description: partial 16S ribosomal RNA
Rfam family: Bacterial small subunit ribosomal RNA
Source: RNAcentral
AGUGAACGCUGGCGGUAGGCCUAACACAUGCAAGUCGAACGGCAGCACAGUAAGAGCUCGCUCUUACGGGUGGCGAGUGGCGGACGGGUGAGGAAUACAUCGGAAUCUACUUUUUCGUGGGUGAUAACGUAGGGAAACUUACGCUAAUACCGCAUACGACCUACGGGUGAAAGCAGGGGAUCUUCGGACCUUGCGCGAUUGAAUGAGCCGAUGUCGGAUUAGCUAGUUGGCGAGGUAAAGGCCCACCAAGGCGACGAUCCGUAGCUGGUCUGAGAGGAUGAUCGGCCACACUGGAACUGAGACACGGUCCAGACUCCUACGGGAGGCAGCAGUGGGGAAUAUUGGACAAUGGGCGCAAGCCUGAUCCAGCCAUGCCGCGUGAGUGAAGAAGGCCUUCGGGUUGUAAAGCCCUUUUGUUGGGAAAGAAAAGAAGCAGGUUAAUACCCCGCUGUUCUGACGGUACCCAAAGAAUAAGCACCGGCUAACUUCGUG